CCCGUGAUAGCUCAGUUGGUAGAGCGGAGGACUGUAGAUCCUUAGGUCGGUGGUUCAAAUCCGCCUCGCGGGA
Molecule: transfer RNA, 73 nt
Filed under: Haliotis rufescens (red abalone)
Lineage: Eukaryota; Metazoa; Mollusca; Gastropoda; Lepetellida; Haliotidae
Also listed under: 5 other names
Description: tRNA-Tyr
Rfam family: tRNA
About the family: Transfer RNA (tRNA) molecules are approximately 80 nucleotides in length. Their secondary structure includes four short double-helical elements and three loops (D, anti-codon, and T loops).
Source: RNAcentral